GCCCCCGUAGCUCAGUUGGUCAGAGCGGCGGACUUUUAAUCCGCGCGGCGAAGGUUCGAGUCCUUCCGGGGGCA
This 74-nucleotide transfer RNA is filed under the name soil metagenome. It matches the Rfam family "tRNA". Rfam says of the family: Transfer RNA (tRNA) molecules are approximately 80 nucleotides in length. Their secondary structure includes four short double-helical elements and three loops (D, anti-codon, and T loops). Further hydrogen bonds mediate the characteristic L-shaped molecular structure. tRNAs have two regions of fundamental functional importance: the anti-codon, which is responsible for specific mRNA codon recognition, and the 3' end, to which the tRNAs corresponding amino acid is attached (by aminoacyl-tRNA synthetases). tRNAs cope with the degeneracy of the genetic code in two manners: having more than one tRNA (with a specific anti-codon) for a particular amino acid; and 'wobble' base-pairing, i.e. permitting non-standard base-pairing at the 3rd anti-codon position. The record is from RNAcentral. RNAcentral also lists the same sequence under 1 other name.